This 775-nucleotide long non-coding RNA is filed under the name Trifolium pratense (red clover). RNAcentral's name for it is "long non-coding RNA (TPRA_LNC009055)". Lineage: Eukaryota; Viridiplantae; Streptophyta; Magnoliopsida; Fabales; Fabaceae. The record is from RNAcentral.
UCUUCCAAAUUUUCAAAAUCGAAUCGCAUUCUUGACCAUACUAACUUUUAUCAUCACCAUCUUAAGUGCAUUCAUCUCCUACUUCACAUUUCAAGUUUCAACUAUACUCUCAAUCUCAAAAAAAACCAUGUAGCCUAUCAACAUCAGCGUGGUUGUAAGUAAAUCGAUUCCCUUCAAUAAAAAGAGAGUAAAAGUUAUCAAUCAGAUUAAACAGCAACAUCGUGCUAGAAGUAUUCUCUAGCAGAAAUUUAAAAAAAAAAAAAAAGCUAUAAGUUUGUCUGAAUAAACAAUAUAAUGUGAAAUCCUAGUCCAAGAUAGUUAUUCAAUUUUCUCUUAAAAUCCAACGACCAAAACAUAAAAUGUGCAAAUGCAGCACCCUCCUAUGCUUCUAUAAUCCAUUAUAUUCAAACAAAGAACUAGAAUUAAAGUAGGAAACUUAAGGGUUAUGAAGCACAUAUAUCAGACACGACAUAGGCACGUUGACACUGACAAUAAUUUGAGCAAAUUACAUUAUUCAACAUAACCAUAUGUGUCGGCGUGUGUGUGACACCAGAACACAUGUUUAAUCCGAGUAGUAUCUGUGCUUUAUAGCUAAAGGGUCGUGGAGUAUAUGAUGAAAAAAACGCACCAGAGGUUUUAUUUCAAACGCCAAUCCAUAUGAAAGCUAAAAAUUCAAUCUUGUUUCUACAAUUCAAUAAAAGAAACAAACUUUGUAAACCCCAAAACAAGAUUUAUCAUCAUCGAGAAAUUUCCAUGUUUUUUGUUGAACAUGGAU